Molecule: ribosomal RNA, 473 nt
Filed under: uncultured bacterium
Lineage: Bacteria
Description: bacterial SSU rRNA
Rfam family: Bacterial small subunit ribosomal RNA
Source: RNAcentral
GACGAACGCUGGCGGCGUGCUUACCACAUGCAAGUCAAACGGUGAAGGAAAGCUUGCUUUCUGGAUCAAUGGCGAACGGGUGAUUAACACGUGGGCAAUCUGCCCCAAACUCUGGGAUAACUCUUCAAAAGAGGGGCUAAUACCGGAUAUUCGGUUUUGAAGACAUCUUCCAAUUCGGAAAGUUUUUCGGUCUGGGAUGAGCCCGCGGCCUAUCAGCUUGUUGGUGAGGUAACGGCUCACCAAGGCAACGACGGGGAGCCGGCCUGAGAGGCCAACCGCCCACACUGGGACUGAGACACGGCCCAAACUCCUAGGGGAGGCACCAGUGGGAAAUAUUGGGCAAGGGACAAAAGUCUGACCCAGCAGCGCCCCGUGAGGAAUGAAGGUCUUCAGAUUGUAAACCUCUUUCAGCAGGCACAAACCAAAUGUGAGGGUACCUGCAAAAAAAUCACCGGUUAACUACUUGCCACCAC